CGGCGGACGGGUGGAGUAAUGCCUAGGAAUCUGCCUGGUAGUGGGGGACGAACGUUUCGAAAGGAACGCUAAUACCGCAUACGUCCUACGGGAGAAAGCAGGGGACCUUCGGGCCUUGCGCUAUCAGAUGAGCCUAGGUCGGAUUAGCUAGUUGGUGAGGUAAUGGCCCACCAAGGCGACGAUCCGUAGCUGGUCUGAGAGGAUGAUCAGCCACACUGGAACUGAGACACGGUCCAGACUCCUACGGGAGGCAGCAGCU
Molecule: ribosomal RNA, 259 nt
Filed under: uncultured Pseudomonas sp.
Lineage: Bacteria; Pseudomonadati; Pseudomonadota; Gammaproteobacteria; Pseudomonadales; Pseudomonadaceae
Description: partial 16S ribosomal RNA
Rfam family: Bacterial small subunit ribosomal RNA
Source: RNAcentral